This 305-nucleotide small nuclear RNA is filed under the name Microtus ochrogaster (prairie vole). Its description in RNAcentral is "7SK RNA (ENSMOCG00000003597.1)". It matches the Rfam family "7SK RNA". Rfam says of the family: 7SK was discovered as an abundant small nuclear RNA in the mid-70s but a possible function has only recently been suggested. Two independent studies have found that 7SK RNA binds the CDK9/cyclin T complex (known as elongation factor P-TEFb). Lineage: Eukaryota; Metazoa; Chordata; Mammalia; Rodentia; Cricetidae. The record is from RNAcentral.
AGAAGAUCCUCGGUGACAUCUGUCAUGCCGUUGAUUGCCAGAGUUGAUUUGGCUGAUCUAGCUGGCUAAGCAGGUGUCCCCUUUCUCCCUCCCCACUCUGUGUGGGUCUCUCCCAAAGCUGAGCACUUGGUCGAAGAAGACGACCUUCCCUGAAUAGAGGAGGACCGGUCUUUGGUCAAGGGUACUCAAGUAGCUGCGUUCCCCUGCUCGAACCUCCAAACAAGAUCUCAAUGUGACUUUGAAAUACAAGGCUUUCCUUCUAUUUUCGUUAUUUUACAGCAUACUGAUUUCAUUCUAAGAUCUUA